UCCGAGUUGACCCCGGCAGUCUCCCAUGAGUCCCCGCCAUUACGCGCUGGCAACAUGGAACGAGGGUUGCGCUCGUUGCGGGACUUAACCCAACAUCUCACGACACGAGCUGACGACAACCAUGCACCACCUGUGAACCGGCCCCAAAGGGGAAACCACAUUUCUGCGGCGAUCCGGCCCAUGUCAAGCCUUGGUAAGGUUCUUCGCGUUGCAUCGAAUUAAUCCGCAUGCUCCGCCGCUUGUGCGGGCCCCCGUCAAUUCCUUUGAGUUUUAGCCUUGCGGCCGUACUCCCCAGGCGGGGCACUUAAUGCGUUAGCUACGGCGCGGAAAACGUGGAAUGUCCCCCACACCUAGUGCCCAACGUUUACGGCAUGGACUAC
RNAcentral lists this unclassified non-coding RNA (380 nucleotides) under uncultured Micrococcaceae bacterium. RNAcentral describes it as "contains 16S-23S intergenic spacer region". The record is from RNAcentral. Lineage: Bacteria; Bacillati; Actinomycetota; Actinomycetes; Micrococcales; Micrococcaceae.